GAGUUUGUGGACCUGAACAUGCAGUGGAAAUGUUCCGCCAGCAACCGCAUCAUGGGUGCCAAGGACCAUGCAUCCAUCCAGAUGAACUUAGCCAAGGUUGACAAGGUUAUAGGCAGGUUUAAUGGCCAAUUUAAAACCUAUAGUGUCUGUAGGACCAUUCUCAGAAUGGGUGAGUCAGAUGACUCCAUUCUCUGACUGGUCAAGACCAACAGCAUCUCAAAGAA
RNAcentral lists this long non-coding RNA (224 nucleotides) under Homo sapiens (human). Its description in RNAcentral is "non-protein coding lnc-LPAR1-2:1". Lineage: Eukaryota; Metazoa; Chordata; Mammalia; Primates; Hominidae. The record is from RNAcentral.